UAUAAGGGUUAAUUAAAAAUUUCUAAAAAACUGCUAUAUAAAACAUCAACUAGAAUGGACUUAAUCAGUCAACGGGUUAUUUUGCUUCUAAAAGGUUGUACAUUUUUUUCAUAAAACAAAAAUGAAAAUAUUUAUUGCAAUUUUAGCUUUAGUGGCCUGUGUUUUCGCCGAAGAAUGGACCGUUAAAACUGGCGCACAACUUAAGGAAAUUCGCAAUGAAUGCCUAAAAGAACAUCCUCUUACCACUGAACAAAUGAACAAAAUGUCAAAUUUCGAAUUCCCCAAUGAGGAAGGUGUUCGCCAAUAUCUUCUCUGUUCUGCCGUGAAAAUUGGCAUCUACUGUACUCAUAUGGGCUAUCAUACCGAUCGUAUUGCUAAACAAUUUAAAAUGGACUUGGAUGAGGAAGAAGUAAAAAAAUUGGCCGAUGAUUGUGUAGCCAAACACCCCAAGGGUGAUAAACCCCACGAUGUUGUCGCUUUUGAAAAUCAUACUUGUUUCAUGAGCACUAUUGUUGGUGAUAAAAUCAAGGACUAUUUGAAGAAACGUCAUGAAAGUGCUUAAAAUUAUUAAAAAAUUCAUUUUUUUAUGUAGAAAUAAAAAAUUAAAAAAUAAACGUAUUUUAGUUAAUAGUAUCAAAAAGAUUUUUUUUAUUUAGUUGCCGACACUACAAGACUACAAGUUAAUUUUGAAUUAUUUGUCUAACUCUUAAGAGCAAUUACAUAAAAAACAUACAUUUCUAGAGCAAAAUCUCAUUGAUACUCUAACGAUUGCAUUUUAAUUUUUUCCGCAAAUAAAAUUGACAACUCAUUCUAUAUGUUUAUUGCUUUGAUUAGAAGAAACAAAGAAACAUAUGGAAAAAUUAUUAUUGUAAUAUUUUCAAACAAUUAAUUAUUUACAGAAGCCGGCUAGAUCUUUAGUCGUUCUGUCGUCAAAACAUAAACAAAACAUUUCUUAUCAAAAUCAACUUAGAAAAACUUAAAGUGAGUGCACGGUUUUAUAUACACACAUGUCUAUAGAUUUGUGUUAGAAUAUUUGUAUAUUUAUUGAAUAGAAAACGUUUAAGCACCCCUUUAAAUCUUUGCGUUAUCGGUUGUGACCCACCGAAUAAAAUAAGAAGAAAAUAAACAAAAAUACUUUUAAAAUUAUACUUCCACAUAAUAAUUUUAGAAGUAUUUUGUGGGAAAUCAUCACUGGUGUUUAGUUUAAAUAUUAAGCGAUCUUCUAUUGAAUAUAGUAUUCGGCGCUACUCUUCUUAUCAAUAUUAUUAGCUCGUAUUACCUCUGUCCAUUUUAAGCUGGCAUUUGGACCUAAAGUAUGUUUGUAUAAGUAAACCACACGUAUGUAUACAUCCAUAUGUAUGUAUACAUAUAGUAUUAUCAGUAACUAAUAUAUGGACAGACGUGUCUAUUAUGUUUUUAAAACUUAGAAUAAAAGCAUAUGUAUAUAAAAUAUCGCUCAAAGCAGAUUUUAAUCACUCAAGUAGAAAUCGUUGUUGGCAAAGGUUGUUUGUGUUCUUAAAGUGCAGUUUAAAAUUAAAAAAAAAAAAAAAAAAAUCCAAAAUGAAAGUAUUUGUUGCAAUUUUAGCUUUAGUGGCUUGUGUUUGUGCCGAAGAAUGGACCAUGAAAAAUAGCGAACAAC
Molecule: unclassified non-coding RNA, 1639 nt
Filed under: Lucilia cuprina (Australian sheep blowfly)
Lineage: Eukaryota; Metazoa; Arthropoda; Insecta; Diptera; Calliphoridae
Description: uncharacterized LOC111690490, transcript variant X2
Source: RNAcentral